GAAGGUAGCGUAAUCAUUUGUCUUUUAAAUAGAGACCUGUAUGAAUGGCAUAACGAGGGUUUAACUGUCUCCCUCCCCUAGUCAAUGAAAUUGAUCUGCCCGUGCAGAAGCGGACAUAAACACAUAAGACGAGAAGACCCUAUGGAGCUUUAGACAAAAGAUCAAACAUGUAAAGAAACCAAACUAACCAAAAGGAACACAAAGGCCACAAAACCCGACGUAAAAUGAUCCAAAUGUCUUCGGUUGGGGCGACCAUGGGGGAAAGAAAAGCCCCCACGAGGAACUAGGGGCAAUCCAUUAAGUCAAGAGAUACACCUCUAAACAACAGAAAAUCUGACCAAAAAUGACCCAGGACACUAAUCCUGAUCAACGAACCAAGUUACCCUAGGGAUAACAGCGCAAUCCUUUCCCAGAGUCCAUAUCGACGAAAGGGUUUACGACCUCGAUGUUGGAUCAGGACAUCCUAAUGGUGCAGCCGCUAUUAAGGGUUCGUUUGUUCAACGAUUAA
This 508-nucleotide ribosomal RNA is filed under the name Anguilla interioris (highlands long-finned eel). RNAcentral describes it as "partial large subunit ribosomal RNA". It matches the Rfam family "Bacterial large subunit ribosomal RNA", at positions 1952 to 2591 of the family's 2925-position model. Lineage: Eukaryota; Metazoa; Chordata; Actinopteri; Anguilliformes; Anguillidae. The record is from RNAcentral.